Molecule: long non-coding RNA, 514 nt
Filed under: Lathyrus oleraceus (garden pea)
Lineage: Eukaryota; Viridiplantae; Streptophyta; Magnoliopsida; Fabales; Fabaceae
Description: Pisum sativum (pea) long non-coding RNA (PSAT_LNC021134)
Source: RNAcentral
GUAAUAUUUGGAUCCACUUAUCAAAACACAGUCGUUUUGGGCAGCAAAUGGAAUGUUUUGAUUGGCUGGAGGGGGGCACACGAAAAUGGGGGCAAUUCUGGGCAGAUUGGGAUUAGGGUUCUUAUCAAAAAAAACGUGAUUUCUCAAUUCUUCCCAAAAGUGUCAAUUAAGCAUACCAUUGUAAACAUCAAACACCAUACAACAACAAUCCAAACCCUAAUUUCAUCAAUUUGAACUAUACAACAAGAAAUCACAAGAAACAUUUUCAAACAUCAAACUUUAUAAAGUGUCAAUUAAGCAUACCAUUGUAAACAUCAAACACCAUACAACAACAAUCCAAACCCUAAUUUCAUCAAUUUGAACUAUACAACAAGAAAUCACAAGAAACAUUUUCAAACAUCAAACUUUAUCCCAUCAUAACUUCAUGAACAAGCAACUAUUCCAAAAAAUGAAAGCAUCAUGGUACUCAGCAAUAAAGGAUCUUUCCAAAGUGUAUGUCAAUUUUAAGAAUGGG